RNAcentral lists this long non-coding RNA (230 nucleotides) under Vulpes vulpes (red fox). RNAcentral's name for it is "lncRNA (ENSVVUG00000014386.1)". The record is from RNAcentral. Lineage: Eukaryota; Metazoa; Chordata; Mammalia; Carnivora; Canidae.
GUUUUAUUCCUUUGAUGAGCAAAACAGAGCUGAGCCAAACCAUUUUUUAAUCAAGCAUGUUCAAGAGACAACCUGCCCACAUGGUGAUAACAUCAAAAAAUGUGAACAUGAAGCACCUUGUCCUAAUGGCUAUUAGUGUCCAUCGUGAAAGCAUGACAACUUGAGGACAAAUCUGACAUCAACAAUGCUGAGAGAAAAGCAGAGAAAUAUUGCUAGAACCCUAAUUAAAC